Molecule: small nuclear RNA, 126 nt
Organism: Bos mutus (wild yak)
Lineage: Eukaryota; Metazoa; Chordata; Mammalia; Artiodactyla; Bovidae
Source: Ensembl
GUGUUGUAUGAAAGGAGAGAAUGUUGGCACUCCCCUUGAUAAGGAUGGAAGAGACUCUCGGACCUAACAAUAUGCAUACGGUUAAGGCAUUGCCACCUACUUUGUGGCAUCUAACCACUCUUGGGC